Molecule: long non-coding RNA, 2199 nt
Organism: Pristis pectinata (smalltooth sawfish)
Lineage: Eukaryota; Metazoa; Chordata; Chondrichthyes; Rhinopristiformes; Pristidae
Exons: 5
Source: RefSeq, a predicted model, not a curated record
UCUUGAACCGCUGCUGUGUUGUAAUGAAGUAAUCGCACAGCGCUUUCGGAAAGAUGGAGCCAGGCUUUCGACCCAGUAUUCAAAAGUACGCGUUAUGUUUGGGCAGUCAUUGCUGCCGCUUUCACCCGUUGAAAUUUAUUUGGCUUUAAGUGCAACUGUCACGAGAGAGCGAAGUAAAUUGUUGAUAAGACUUCGAGGAGGUGAGCCUAACGUGGUCUGCAUCCUUGCUGCACGGAAGAUGGCCAAGAUUUGGGGAAUCUGUCUUAACCGGUGCUGGCGCAUUGCAAGGGGUCUUGCCAAGAGUUUCCACUGCCUUCACAUUGUUCCUCACCAUGAACAGAUGGUCCUUGCCAUAACUCCAUUAUGUCCUGGUUCAGAUUUCCUGGUGGUACAUACGGCAGGUCAAGACUAAGCUGAACAGGAUACGGGCAUCAAUGGCAAGACCAGCAUUUAUUGCCUUCCCUUAUGGCUGGCUAAGCCAUUUCAGAGACAACAACUUUGCUGUUCGGCUGGAAUCGCAUACCGGCCAGUCCAGGUAUUGAAUGAGGGCUUCGCAGGCUAACGGCAUUUAUUGUCCAUCUAUAAUUGCCCUUGAGUAUGUGAUGUGAACCGCCUCCUUGAGCCGCUGCUUGUAAUGAAGGCUCUUCCACGGUGCUGUUGGGUAGGCAGUUCCAGGAUUUAGUCCCAGCGACCCAACCGAGGGAUGUGUUUCCAAGUCAGAAUGGUUUUUAACUUGGAGUAUUGGUGGUGUUUCCUUAUGUGCACUUCUCCACUUCUAGGUCGGAACAAUUAUGGAUUUUGGUGGAGAUUCAGUGAAAAUAUUUUCUUAAGGAAUUUUGGAAGACACUGCUGCGUAUUUCACAAUGCUUAUCCCCAGUUAUGACCGAGCUCUUAAAUUUUUUGUGGCCCCAAGCAAACUGUUAUACCCACCAGCAGCGGGGUCCUCAUAAACUAUGCAGUGUUGAACAUCGGAUUCCCAGCAAUCCAACCAGAAAUGUUCACCCGAAUAUUAUUAAUGGCAAAGGGACGGUACAUACAAUGUGGGAAGCGGUUUUCUAUUACCAUGCAAAAGUGCCAUGCACUUUCUUGUGCUCUGUAGUACAAGUUCCAGUUUAUGUAUUGUUGGAUUGUGCUAGUAUGUGAGAGAGGUUUAUGUACUGUUUACCGAAUGGAUUCAUACGAUAUGAGAAUUAAUGGAAUAACGAGUGAUAUAUGUACAGAAUGAUAUUUGAAAUGUCGAAAACGUGUUAUAUUGUGGAUAUUAUGUAUAGUAUGGGAAAUCGUUUAUAACCUACAAUGACAAUAUUAUUUAAUGACAAAAUAUCAAUUGUGCGGCCUACUAAAUUAUAUAAAAUAAAUAGUUAUUCAUAGUUGUGAAUACUAUAUAGAGUUUCGUAGUCUGUGAGGACUACGUCCCAUACGUACGUAGAGAGCUAUUCUGCAGAAAUCUGCUUUUGCAUUAUGCAGUGUGAGGAAUGGUACACACUGUAUGAGAAACUUUACAUUCACAGUCAGGAUUAUCCUGCGACAGAGUGGUACAGAUAGUUGGGACGGUAGAGUGGAUAACGUGAGAGAAGUAGUUAGAUCUAGUAUGAGGAAUCGUACAAUAUACCAUAUGGGGAUAGUUUAAUAUAGUCUAAGAGAACCGCCCCCCCCCCCCCCAUAAGGACCAUCUACUGACUUUCUGGUAACAUCCUGGAACGGAUUUCUCGAGAUAAAUAGGUAUGUUGACAUGUACCUGACUUAGUUCUGCAUUUAGAGAUUGUGUCAGGUCACCGUCACCAAGUAUAGUUGAUAAAUUAUCUGCGGGUUGAGGCAUGAGACAACAACCAUUUCAUUUACUCAAGACUGCCCGUAAUUGUCCAUAAAUCUAAAUCUAACUUUAUAGGUUUUGUUUCGUUUCGCUGGAAUUUUGAUCUUUGGGCGGUUAUUAUAAUAAAAGUAGCGCUUAUUUGCCUGCGCAAGUUACACGCAGAGCUGCGCGUAGAAAUUUGCGAUAUUAUCACCGGCGGAGUAACUGUGAAUUUCCAAGCAACAAAAUAAAGGGAAACUAUGCAUCCAUGAAAAGGUAAAGCUCUCACAAGUCAUUGAUAUACUGGCAUUUUAAUUUCCAAAGAUAAUUACAAUGCUUGAAUGCAUUUUGUCAUAAGAUGUUUAUAAGACGCUUUAUCUAAAUACUGAAGCUUAAGUUACACAAAA